This 565-nucleotide ribosomal RNA is filed under the name uncultured bacterium. RNAcentral's name for it is "bacterial SSU rRNA". It matches the Rfam family "Bacterial small subunit ribosomal RNA", at positions 108 to 689 of the family's 1533-position model. The record is from RNAcentral.
GCCUAACACGUGGGUAACCUGCCCUUUGGUGGGGAAUAACUCCUCGAAAGCGGAGCUAAUUCCGCAUAAGAUCCGCAAGGAUGAAAGCCGCAAGGCGCCGAAGGAGGGGCCCGCGCCCGAUUAACUAGUUGGUGAGGUAAUGGCUCACCAAGGCUUUGAUCGGUAGCUGGUCUGAGAGGAUGAUCAGCCACACUGGAACUGAGACACGGUCCAGACUCCUACGGGAGGCAGCAGUGGGGAAUCUUGCACAAUGGGCGAAAGCCUGAUGCAGCGACGCCGCGUGGGGGAUGAAGCAUUUCGGUGUGUAAACCCCUUUCGAUCCGGACGAAACCCCGCAAGGGAUUGACGGUACGGAUAUAAGAAGCCCCGGCUAACUACGUGCCAUCAGCCGCGGUAAGACGUAGGGGGCCAGCGUUGUUCGGAAUUACUGGGUGUAAAGGGUUCGUAGGCGGUGUAGCAAGUCGGGAGUGAAAUCUUUGGGCUUAACCCAGAGGCUGCUUCCGAAACUGCUGUGCUUGAGUGUGGGGAGAGGCGCGUGGAAUUGCAGGUGUAGCGGUGAAAAUGC